CCUACGGGAGGCAGCAGUAGGGAAUCUUCCACAAUGGACGAAACUCUGAUGCAGCAACGCCGCGUGGGUGAUGAAGGUUUUCGGAUCGUAAACUCCUGUUGUUAGUGAAGAUAAUUACGGUAUCUAACUAACCUUCAUCGGCCAACUCUUUCCUAGCAGCAGCGGUCUUACGUAGUGUGCACGCGUUACUCGGAAUCACUGGGCGUAAAGAUCGCGUAGGCGGUAUAGCAAGUCAGAUGUGAAAUCCUAUGGCUUAACCAGAGAACUGCAUUUGAAACUGUUACACUAGAGUAUGGGAGAGGAAGGUGGAAUUCUAGGUGUAGGGGUAGAAUGCGUAGAGAUAAGGAGGAAUACUCGUUGCGAAGGCGACCUGCUAGAACGUAACUGACGCUGAUGCGCGAAAGCAUGGGGAGCGAACAGGAUUAGAUACCUCUGUAGUC
This 440-nucleotide ribosomal RNA is filed under the name uncultured bacterium. RNAcentral's name for it is "partial 16S ribosomal RNA". It matches the Rfam family "Bacterial small subunit ribosomal RNA", at positions 338 to 795 of the family's 1533-position model. The record is from RNAcentral.